Long non-coding RNA from Solanum stenotomum, 276 nucleotides. RefSeq lists it as uncharacterized. NCBI's taxonomy places the organism in Eukaryota, Viridiplantae, Streptophyta, Magnoliopsida, Solanales, Solanaceae. The record is from RefSeq and is a predicted model, not a curated record. The transcript is spliced from 3 exons.
GUUUGAAUACCAAGAUCAACAUCAAGUGGAUGUGAUGUAGCAGAAAAGUUUUUUCCACCACACUGAUUACUUCAAAUAGAGGUAAAAAAAGGAUUUGAAAUCAAUUAACAGAGUGGUAAUCUUUUGCCAAAGAAAGACUCUGCACUCCGCAACAAGGAAAACAACAAACAAAGACAUGCUUUCAAGCUAUACAUUGGACAACAUCUCCAGAUUAUCCACGUCUCUCAUAGUGACUCCUACUCACCAGCAAGUUAUUCCCAUUGCGAAACAUCUGUA